UGGGGAAUAUUGGGCAAUGGGCGAAAGCCUGACCCAGCAACGCCGCGUGAGUGAAGAAGGCUUUCGGGUUGUAAAGCUCUGUUAUAGGGGACGAAGAGCGUGACGGUACCCUAUAAGGAAGCCCCGGCUAACUACGUGCCAGCAGCCGCGGUAAUACGUAGGGGGCGAGCGUUGUCCGGAAUGACUGGGCGUAAAGGGCGUGUAGGCGGCUUUAUAAGUCUGGAGUGAAAGUCCUGCUUUCAAGGUGGGAAUUGCUUUGGAGACUGUAGAGCUUGAGUGCGGAAGAGGUAAGUGGAAUUCCCAGUGUAGCGGUGAAAUGCGUAGAGAUUGGGAGGAACACCAGUGGCGAAGGCGACUUACUGGGCCGUAACUGACGCUGAGGCGCGAAAGCGUGGGGAGCGAACAGG
This 407-nucleotide ribosomal RNA is filed under the name uncultured prokaryote. RNAcentral describes it as "bacterial SSU rRNA". It matches the Rfam family "Bacterial small subunit ribosomal RNA", at positions 355 to 776 of the family's 1533-position model. The record is from RNAcentral. RNAcentral also lists the same sequence under 1 other name.